CCAAAAUCCACCCCCCAUUCAUGAAGACUCAGUUCCACAUUUCCGGCAGCAUGGGCGAGAUCCCAUCCGACGUAACAGCCCUAAAGACAACAAAAACGAAGAAUGAAACAAAGUUUCGUUGCACAAAGGAUUGUCAAUGAAGUAUACCGCAGUGAUGGCGACAUUUUUCCAGAAGCAUUAUGGAACUCAACGACUUUCUGUGUGACCGUUUGAAGAUCAUGGCUGAAGUACCAGACACUGCCCGGCAUUAUGUUGAGUGUGUCACAUGCAGAAAUUAAUCCAUGUUCUAUUGCAACACUUGCCAACAGCGAAUGUAUGAACAAUGCAGAGAGGUCCAUCUAAGGAAAAAAGGAAAUCCAACACAUAUAGUGGUUCUGUAUCAGGAAAGAAAUAAAAA
This is a long non-coding RNA of Ostrea edulis (European flat oyster), 397 nucleotides long. RefSeq lists it as uncharacterized. The record is from RefSeq and is a predicted model, not a curated record. The transcript is spliced from 3 exons. Lineage: Eukaryota; Metazoa; Mollusca; Bivalvia; Ostreida; Ostreidae.